RNAcentral lists this ribosomal RNA (465 nucleotides) under uncultured bacterium. RNAcentral's name for it is "bacterial SSU rRNA". It matches the Rfam family "Bacterial small subunit ribosomal RNA", at positions 29 to 506 of the family's 1533-position model. The record is from RNAcentral.
AUGAACGUUGGCGGCGUGGAUUAGGCAUGCAAGUCGAGCGAGAAUCGUAGCAAUACGAGGACAGCGGCGCAAGGGACAGUAAUGUGUAGAUUAUCUGCCCUCAGGUCCGGGAUAGCUGCGGGAAACUGCAGGUAAUACCGGAUAACAUCUCCGGAUCAAAGGUGUGAUUCCGCCUGAGGAUGAGUCUGCAUCCUAUUAGCUAGUUGGCAGGGUAACGGCCUACCAAGGCAUUGAUGGGUAGCGGGUGUGAGAGCACGACCCGCGUCAUUGGGACUGAGACACUGCCCAGACCCCUACGGGUGGCUGCAGUCGAGAAUCUUCGGCAAUGGGCGCAAGCCUGACCGAGCGACGCCGCGUGUGGGAUGAAGGCCUUCGGGUUGUAAACCACUGUCAGAGGGGAUGAAAUGCAGGUGGGUUCUCCCAUCUGUUGGACAUAGCCUCAGAGGAAGGACGGGCUAAUUUCGU